CUUGCUAAGUUUGAUGGCGACCGGCGCACGGGUGAGUAACACGUAUCCAACCUGCCGAUGACUCGGGGAUAGCCUUUCGAAAGAAAGAUUAAUACCCGAUGGCAUAGUUCUUCCGCAUGGUAGAACUAUUAAAGAAUUUCGGUCAUCGAUGGGGAUGCGUUCCAUUAGGUUGUUGGCGGGGUAACGGCCCACCAAGCCUUCGAUGGAUAGGGGUUCUGAGAGGAAGGUCCCCCACAUUGGAACUGAGACACGGUCCAAACUCCUACGGGAGGCAGCAGUGAGGAAUAUUGGUCAAUGGACGAGAGUCUGAACCAGCCAAGUAGCGUGAAGGAUGACUGCCCUAUGGGUUGUAAACUUCUUUUAUACGGGAAUAAAGUGAGGCACGUGUGCCUUUUUGUAUGUACCGUAUGAAUAAGGAUCGGCUAACUCCGUGCCAGCAGCCGCGGUAAUACGGAGGAUCCGAGCGUUAUCCGGAUUUAUUGGGUUUAAAGGGAGCGUAGGCGGACGCUUAAGUCAGUUGUGAAAGUUUGCGGCUCAACCGUAAAAUUGCAGUUGAUACUGGGUGUCUUGAGUACAGUAGAGGCAGGCGGAAUUCGUGGUGUAGCGGUGAAAUGCUUAGAUAUCACGAAGAACUCCGAUUGCGAAGGCAGCUUGCUGGACUGUAACUGACGCUGAUGCUCGAAAGUGUGGGUAUCAAACAGG
Molecule: ribosomal RNA, 702 nt
Filed under: uncultured Bacteroidales bacterium
Lineage: Bacteria; Pseudomonadati; Bacteroidota; Bacteroidia; Bacteroidales
Description: bacterial SSU rRNA
Rfam family: Bacterial small subunit ribosomal RNA
Source: RNAcentral